RNAcentral lists this ribosomal RNA (505 nucleotides) under uncultured bacterium. RNAcentral describes it as "partial 16S ribosomal RNA". It matches the Rfam family "Bacterial small subunit ribosomal RNA", at positions 28 to 507 of the family's 1533-position model. The record is from RNAcentral.
GACGAACGCUGGCGGCGUGCCUAAUACAUGCAAGUCGAACGCACAGUUUAUACCGUAGCUUGAUACACCAUAGACUGUGAGUUGCGAACGGGUGAGUAACGCGUAGGUAUCCUGCCUGGUAGCGGGGGAUAACUAUUGGAAACGAUAGCUAAUACCGCAUAAUAUUUAUUAUUGCAUGAUAAUUACUUGAAAGUUGCAAUUGCACCACUACCAUAUGGACCUGCGUUGUAUUAGCUAGUAGGUUAGGUAACGGCUCACCUAGGCGACGAUACAUAGCCGACCUGAGAGGGUGAUAGGACAAACUGGGACGGAGACACGGCCAAGACUACUACGGGAGGCAGCAGGAGGGAAUCUUCGGCAAUGGACGAAAGGCUGAACGAGCAACGCCGCGUGAGUGAAGAAGGUUUUCGGAUCGUAAAGCUCAGUUGUAAGAGAAGAACGGGUGUGAGAGUGGAAAGUGCACACUGUGACGGUAUCUUAACAGAAAGGGACGGCUAACUACGUG